This is a long non-coding RNA of Panicum virgatum (switchgrass), 751 nucleotides long. RefSeq lists it as uncharacterized. NCBI's taxonomy places the organism in Eukaryota, Viridiplantae, Streptophyta, Magnoliopsida, Poales, Poaceae. The record is from RefSeq and is a predicted model, not a curated record. The transcript has 3 exons.
UGCAAGCGGUGCUUGCGUGCAAUCGUGCAAGCACCGCGUCUGGGCCUUCGGUUCCUCAUCCGACGAUGCCGUGCCAAUUUGCAAAAUAAACCCCGCACCAGCCGCUGCGUUUUUUCACAAAACACCCCUGCGGCCAAUUGACCUACAUGCAAGACGUUUGGUUUCUUCUUGCCCACGAUCGUUCUAGCCGCCGCCGCCUUGUCUUGCUGCAAUUCCUCCUAGAUCGAUCGGAUCCUUUGUGUGUUCCUGCGGUGUUCUGGUCCCAUGCAGGACGCCGUCCAGACCUCAUGCGAUGAGGUCCUGCCCGACGCCGUCCAAGUGCCGCAGCCUCCCGACGUCGUCCAAGUGCCCGACGUGGAGGAGCCAGAUGUCCAGGAGCUAGACCACGAUGAUGACUUGUCUUUCAUGGCAAACGACAUUCAACCAAUGUACGAUGACAACGGCCCACUACUAUCCUGCACCAUGACAUCAUCUCAAUAGAGCAAGUAGACGACAUGGGGCUCCUUAAUGCCGGUUUCGAUAUUGGUUCUUCACCUGUUCGUCAGGAAGUUGUCGUGGAGCAAGGUAAUGAUGUAGCCAUUGAUAUGAAUGAUCCAGUGAUCACGACACCAACAAAGAAAAAAAAUUGUUCUUAAGAAAGGGAUGUUAUUUGACAAUGUCGAAUCUGCUAAGAAAUUUUACAAGGAUUAUGCACAUGAUUUAGGUGCUGCUUUCUUAGCUGAUGAGAAGAUUGAAAGCUAUAUCUGGUUAU